RNAcentral lists this transfer RNA (745 nucleotides) under Bradyrhizobium sp. 11.2. RNAcentral describes it as "partial 16S-23S ribosomal RNA intergenic spacer". The stretch from base 160 to 233 matches the Rfam family "tRNA". Lineage: Bacteria; Pseudomonadati; Pseudomonadota; Alphaproteobacteria; Hyphomicrobiales; Nitrobacteraceae. RNAcentral also lists the same sequence under 17 other names. The record is from RNAcentral.
CUAUCGGAUCGUUUUAGAAACAUCAGUGGCCAACGGUCGUCAGGAUCGUUGAGCUGCAUUGGCGGGAUUUCGCCGUCUUCGUUUCUCUUUCUUCGCGGACGAACACGCGCUGGGCCUGCAUGGUUGCAGGAUCCCGGUCCUUAACUGGAUAUGCGUUAGGGGCUUGUAGCUCAGUUGGUUAGAGCGCGCGCUUGAUAAGCGUGAGGUCGGAAGUUCAAGUCUUCCCAGGCCCACCACACUCAUCGAGUGAGCAUUCGUCUUCUGGUUACGGGGCCAUAGCUCAGCUGGGAGAGCGCGUGCUUUGCAAGCAUGAGGUCGUCGGUUCGAUCCCGUCUGGCUCCACCAGAUGGUUUGAUCACCGACAACUCAACCGUCGUCCGCGAAACAUCACUUCGCACCCACUAGUCCGGAUGGACAGUGACGUGCGUGAUUUCUGACAUCGUAAAGAGGAGAUCGAUCCGAGUUGGAUCGUGCAGAAGAUUUCUGCGCGGUACUCCAUUAUCUCCGGAUCAUUUCGGCGCUCGUGCGUCUUCCAGGGUAGCUCACAAGGCUGCAUUGAAAGACAAGCGAGUUGUAAAUGAUCCUUUUAGCGAAGCUUGACCGCCUCGCUAUCGGAACGAUCUUACGAAGCAAGCUGGUCUUUCUAAUCAUUGUCCGGCUGUACGUAGCGUUCAUCGAGGGCGCGCGCCGCAAGGCAAUCGUACAGACAACAUUCUGCCGAGUGUGUGGACAUUGAUAAUGAGAG